GCAUAUCAAUAAGCGGAGGAAAAGAAACCAACAGGGAUUGCCUCAGUAACGGCGAGUGAAGCGGCAACAGCUCAAAUUUGAAAUCUGGCCUCACGGUCCGAGUUGUAAUUUGUAGAGGAUGCUUUUGGCGAGGUGCUUUCCGAGUUCCCUGGAACGGGACGCCAUAGAGGGUGAGAGCCCCGUACGGUAAGACCACCGAGCCUCUGUAAAGCUCCUUCGACGAGUCGAGUAGUUUGGGAAUGCUGCUCUAAAUGGGAGGUGUACGUCUUCUAAAGCUAAAUACCGGCCAGAGACCGAUAGCGCACAAGUAGAGUGAUCGAAAGAUGAAAAGCACUUUGAAAAGAGGGUUAAAAAGUACGUGAAAUUGUUGAAAGGGAAGCAUUCAUGACCAGACUUGGGCUUGGUUGAACAUCCGGCGUUCUCGCCGGUGCACUCUGCCAGUCCAGGCCAGCAUCAGUUUGCCCCGGGGGACAAAGGCGGUGGGAAUGUGGCUCCCUUCGGGGAGUGUUAUAGCCCGCCGUGUAAUGCCCUGGGGCGGACUGAGGAACGCGCUUCCGC
Molecule: small RNA, 558 nt
Filed under: Sarocladium strictum
Lineage: Eukaryota; Fungi; Ascomycota; Sordariomycetes; Hypocreales; Sarocladiaceae
Description: eukaryotic LSU rRNA
Rfam family: Eukaryotic large subunit ribosomal RNA
Source: RNAcentral